This 467-nucleotide ribosomal RNA is filed under the name uncultured bacterium. RNAcentral's name for it is "partial 16S ribosomal RNA". It matches the Rfam family "Bacterial small subunit ribosomal RNA", at positions 28 to 506 of the family's 1533-position model. The record is from RNAcentral.
GACGAACGCUGGCGGCGUGCUUAACACAUGCAAGUCGAACGGAAAGGCCCUGCUUUUGUGGGGUGCUCGAGUGGCGAACGGGUGAGUAACACGUGAGUAACCUGCCCUUGACUUUGGGAUAACUUCAGGAAACUGGGGCUAAUACCGGAUAGGAGCUCCUGCUACAUGGUGGGGGUUGGAAAGUUUCGGCGGUUGGGGAUGGACUCGCGGCUUAUCAGCUUGUUGGUGGGGUAGUGGCUUACCAAGGCUUUGACGGGUAGCCGGCCUGAGAGGGUGACCGGCCACAUUGGGACUGAGAUACGGCCCAGACUCCUACGGGAGGCAGCAGUGGGGAAUAUUGCACAAUGGGCGGAAGCCUGAUGCAGCAACGCCGCGUGCGGGAUGACGGCCUUCGGGCUGUAAACCGCUUUCGCCUGUGACGAAGCGUGAGUGACGGUAAUGGGUAAAGAAGCACCGGCUAACUACGU